AUUCCAGCUCCAAUAGCGUAUAUUAAAGUUGUUGCAGUUAGAACGCUCGUAGUCGGAUUUCGGGGUGGGCCGGCCGGUCUGCCGAUGGGUAUGCACUGGUCGGCGCGUCCUUCCUUCCGGAGACCGUCCCUACUCUUAACUGAGCGGGGGCGGGAGACGGGACUUUUACUUUGAAAAAAUCAGAGUGUUUCAAGCAGGCAGCUCGCUCUUGCAUGGAUUAGCAUGGGAUAAUGAAAUAGGACUUUGGUGCUAUUUUGUUGGUUUCGAACACCGAAGUAAUGAUGAGAAGGGACAGUCAGGGGCACUCGUAUUCCGCCGAGAGAGGUGAAAUUCUCAGACCAGCGGAAGACGAACCACUGCGAAAGCAUUUGCCAGGGAUGUUUUCACUGAUCAAGAACGAAAGUUAGGGGAUCGAAGACGAUCAGAUACCGUCGUAGUCUUAACCAUAAACCAUGCCGACUAGGGAUCGGAGGAUGUUCACUUAUUGACUCCUUCGGCACCUUACGGGAAACUAAAGUCUUUGGGUUCCGGGGGGAGUAUGGUCGCAAGGCUGAAACUUAAAGGAAUUGACGGAAGGGCACCACCAGGUGUGGAGCCUGCGGCUUAAUUUGACGCAACACGGGGAAACUUACCAGGUCCAGACAUUGUGAGGAUUGACAGAUUGAGAGCUCUUUCUUGAUUUAAUGGGUGGUGGUGCAUGGCCGUUCUUAGUUGGUGGAGUGAUUUGUCUGGUUAAUUCCGUUAACGAACGAGACCUUAGCCUGCUAAAUAGUGACGCGAACACUUCGUUCGCGGCCACUUCUUAGAGGGACAACUUGUCUUCAACAAGUGGAAGUUUGAGGCAAUA
This 847-nucleotide ribosomal RNA is filed under the name uncultured eukaryote. RNAcentral describes it as "SSU rRNA". It matches the Rfam family "Eukaryotic small subunit ribosomal RNA", at positions 582 to 1455 of the family's 1831-position model. The record is from RNAcentral.